Panicum hallii is the source of this 2277-nucleotide RNA transcript. RefSeq lists it as uncharacterized. The record is from RefSeq and is a predicted model, not a curated record. The transcript has 3 exons. NCBI's taxonomy places the organism in Eukaryota, Viridiplantae, Streptophyta, Magnoliopsida, Poales, Poaceae.
AGCCGUCGAAGGAACUCCAGGAGAAAAGGUAACAUUUCCUCUGCUGGAGGAGUUGAAAAUUAAUGUCUGCCCGAAGUUGACUGAUCUACCUGAAGCACCGAAGCUAAGUGAAUUAGCCAUCAGUGCGCGUGGACAUGGUCAACAAAUAUCCCUGCAGGCAGCUAGCAGAUGCAUUCCUUCACUGUCCAGGCUGCGUCUGGAUGUGUCUCCCGAUGACACGGAAACAAUAUUGCUGCAUGUCAGCAGAAAUGCAAUCAAGAACUCCCCCUGGCAGCUAUGAUGUUAACUAGGUGCGACCUUUUGUUUUCCUCCCACUCAAAUGCACUAGCGUUGUGGACAUGUUUUGCACGGCUAGUAGAUCUUAGAAUUUGGGAUUGCGAUGCUCUUGUCUACUGGCCAGAAAACGUGUUCCAGGUCCUGGUAUCCCUAAGGAGGUUAUCGAUUUGGAGUUGCAGCAAACUGACAGUACACACACAAGCUUCUGACGGGCAAUCUGCUCCAGAACGGGGUGGACUCCUGCCACGUCUGGAAUCUCUAUGGAUAAAUGGUUGCACAUCUUUGGUAUUGGUCCCCAACCUGCCGGCAUCUCUCAAGACAUUACAUAUUGCUAGCUGUAGUGAUAAUAUCAAGUCCAUCAUAUUCGGUCAGCAUGAGUAUGUGACGCUGGUGGGUGGAGAAGGUGUCGUACAGCCGGACACGUCAUCAUUAAUUCCAGGGUCUUGCGGUAGUGAGGCCACGGCGUCUACAGCUGUACUGAAGCUGUCAUCAGCAGCCAACCAUCGCUCCCUUCCAUGCCUAGAAUCUCUAAGUAUAUGGAGAUGCGAUUGUUUGUCAGAGGUUGCCAAUCUUCCUUCGUCUAUCAAGAUCUUGGACAUUUAUAGCUGCGGCAAUCUACAAUCCCUAUCAGGAAAGCUAGAUGUCGUCCAAAAAUUAAAUAUUAUUUCAUGUAGUCGGUUGGAAUCACUGGAAUCUUGGAUAGGAGAGCUGUGGUCGCUGGAAGUACUCAUGCUUUAUGGUUGCAAAAGCCUGGUAUCCUUACUGGAUGGGCCUCAAGCAUACUCAUCUCUUAGAGUUCUUCAGAUUCAAGAUUGUGAUGGUAUAAAGUCAUUUCCGCCGGGCCUUCAGAGCUGUUUGGAUUGCCUCGAGGUGAAACAUAUAGAUGCCUGUUACGAAGGUAAUAUCCAGUUCCUUGUUUCUUUUAACAAAAUGAUCAGGAGCUCAAUUGGUGUUGUCUGAAACGCAACUCUCCACUUAAACAUUCUGUUAGUUAUUACAAGAUAUGGUACAGCGGUAGGCUUCAGUGAUAAAAACUUUGCGAGUGUGGUGUUUAAAACCUAAAGGCAAACAUUGAUGAUAUAUACAUUAUAUCGAGGACAAUGCACCAGUAAUACCUAUAUUUAUGUGCACUUGUUUCACCUAAAUCCAUUAACUGCCGGAUGUUGCACAUUAGGGGCAUGUAAACAGGUACACCUGGAUCAACAAGUUUAGGCACCAAUCUAUCUCUUUUUGGGUCCGUACAGAGGAAUUGAACUGUAAGAUGAUCUUUGCUGUUCAGUUUGUUACCUUGGUGGUAAUUGUUAAUUCGGAUAGUGUAAAAUCAAUCAUCUUACAGUUUGUUUCUUUGCAAAGUCACUAGCUCCAUUCCUUGUUGUUAAAAUCAGAAUUCUCUCAUGCGAUUUUAUGAUGACUUUACAAUCUUUGUUCCUUGGGUUGAUUCUAUGAUUCUAUUCAGUGGAGUCUACGAUAAAUCCUAGCAGAACCAAAGACUCUGAUACGUGCAAUCAGGAGGCUGGUCGACAAGGCUGCGACGAGAUUGUUCCCGUGUUCCUAUGACGAGGAGAGUGACAGUGAUUGAAAUAGCAGAUCAAGGGCUUGAUGAAAGUUAUCACCAAGGAUCGUUGUUACCAGACCUGCAAAUGAUGGAUUAUUGUAACCGUGGUAGAAUAUAUUACCUACACUUUCUGAAGAUAAUCUCCAGUGAAGUCAAGUCCAAGUCCUUGAUUUUGAGCAGAAACAAGUCAUAGACUGCAAGCUGAAGAAUUUGUAGCAUUUAGAGCUCCAUGCUCCAGUUUGUUAUCCUUCAUUUUCUUUUCUUUUGAACUAUGAUGAGCUUGAGUUCAGUGUCUGCUCCAGCACAAGCGAAACACAGCUAGCACUUUCUUUUCAUACACCGCUGAAGAUACUCAUGUUGUUGUACAUCAAGCCGUUGUUUAAGUGCUGCUUGAAAUGCACUUAAAUUGCUAAAUAUCCCAUGUUAUGUGCGUAUCUGAUGCUGAA